Molecule: ribosomal RNA, 468 nt
Filed under: uncultured bacterium
Lineage: Bacteria
Description: partial 16S ribosomal RNA
Rfam family: Bacterial small subunit ribosomal RNA
Source: RNAcentral
GACGAACGCUGGCGGCGUGCUUAACACAUGCAAGUCGAACGGAAAGGCCCUGCUUUUGUGGGGUGCUCGAGUGGCGAACGGGUGAGUAACACGUGAGUAACCUGCCCUUGACUUUGGGAUAACUUCAGGAAACUGGGGCUAAUACCGGAUAGGAGCUCCUGCUGCAUGGUGGGGGUUGGAAAGUUUCGGUGGUUGGGGAUGGACUCGCGGCUUAUCAGCUUGUUGGUGGGGUAGUGGCUUACCAAGGCUUUGACGGGUAGCCGGCCUGAGAGGGUGACCGGCCACAUUGGGACUGAGAUACGGCCCAGACUCCUACGGGAGGCAGCAGUGGGGAAUAUUGCAGAAUGGGCGGAAGCCUGAUGCAGCAACGCCGCGUGCGGGAUGACGGCCUUCGGGUUGUAAACCGAUUUGGCCUGUGACGAAGCGUGAGUGACGGUAAUGGGUAAAGAAGCACCGGCUAACUACGUG